AAGAAUCAGGAGCAUUUUGUUCUAGUACAUGGAGCUUGCCAUGGGGCUUGGUGCUGGCAAAAGUUCAAAACGCUGCUUGAGUCAGCAAGUAACAGGGUCACGUUGCUUGACCUUGCUGCUUCAGGCGCCAACAUGAAGGCAAUCCAAGAUGUAGAAACACUUGAUGAAUAUACGGAGCCUUUGUUAGAGUUUCUGGCCUCAUUACAACCGAAGGAGAAGGUUAUUCUAGUAGGGCACAGCCUAGGAGGUUUGAGUUUGGCUCUUGCUAUGGAAAAGUUCCCAGAGAAGAUUGCUGUUGCUGUUUUCUUAUCAGCUUUCAUGCCAGAUACCACACACAAGCCAUCAUUUGUCUUGGAUCAGGUACUGCUAGAAAUAUUGGCAAAAAAAAAAUAUUAAUAAUUCUUUGAAGUGCUAUUUGAAAUUAUCAAUUGCUUCUCAAGUUGAAUUCUUCUCUAUUUUUUUUUCCCCUGAAUCUAUAAAGUUUAACGAGAGGACCCCGGCGGAUUACUGGUUGGACACUCAAUUUUUACCAUACAGCAGCUCUCAAUGUCAUCUCACAACAAUAGUUUUUGGACCCAAAUUCUUAUCCUCCAAGCUCUAUCAGCUAAGCCCACCUGAGGUACCUUUCUUAUCAACAUCUUCAAAUUCACAGUUACAUUAGUUGUGGACUUUAUAACAUGACAGUUAAAGUAGUCUUCUCUCUUCUUUACUCCUUUUGAUCAUGUCAAACCUGGUAGAGCAAGCGCGCUGCAGGUUUUACAUGAUUACUAAACAUGCCUUACUUUUGGAUUUUUCAAGGAUCUUGAGCAAGCAAAAACUUUGGUAAGGCCAGGAUCAAUGUUUCUGGAUGAUUUGUCAAAGGCAAACAGUUUCUCCACGACGGGCUAUGGGUCAGUCAAACGAGUAUAUGUUAUCUUUGACAAAGAUUUAGCGAUACCAGUAGAGUUUCAACGCUGGAUGAUUGAAAACAGUGCUGUUGAAGAAGUUAUGGAAAUUGAAGGUGCAGACCAUAUGGUUAUGUUCAGCAAGCCACAAGAACUCUUCCAUUGUCUCUCAGAGAUAGCAAAUAAACAUGCUUAAGCUGUCCUUAUCAGCACCCUUAGUUAUAGUGGUUUGCAGACAUAUGUAUCCAUUGAGACAAAAUAGAAAAAAGAAAAGAAGGAAACUAGGUUAUUUCCAACAAUAAUGAGUUAAUUGCUCACUUGGUCAAUAGAAUAAAGAGAAGAUAUGCUACUGUGUGUGUAUUUUUAAUGUAAAACGUUUUAUUUGUUAUUUUUGAAUUGUUAAAGGGUUGGUGUCUUUCCAUUAAUCUAUUGCAUAGUUAAAUAACUUUAUUAUUCUUAAAAACAAAUAAUUAGUUAACUAUAGUUUAGGGUUUUUUUGGCAUUUUAUAUUUUUUAUUUCAGUGUAAUUAUGAUAUUACCCUUAGAUUCAAAAUUUUUAAAGCUUGACAUUAGAGGCUAAAUCGUAAUUGAAAAGUUUUUUUUUUUAAUAAUGCUUGGGUCUGAAGGGUAGGAAGGUGUUUAUGAAAAAAUAAAAAAACCUAAAAGGCUGCUAAUGCGUGCAUUGCAUGUAUCAGCGCGUUACUGGCUUCGUUAUCUUCAUAAGGCGUGUGCUGCUUUGCAUACGACGAUUAAAAAAUUAAUUCUGCCAUAUCAUUCGAUUCAUCAUCAACUUAUCGAACCUCUGAUACGUCAUCAACAUCUUUUUUUCUUUUUCUUUUUCCUCCUAGAAAGCCAUGCCUAACCCUCCACUUUCUCAUAUUAGCCCUUCAAGUUCCUUUUCUUUUGAUUUUGUCCUUGAUUUUUUUAUAUUUAUUAGUUUUGUUUUAAUUCAUUUAUCAAAUUUUCUUUUGUUUUUAAUUGUAUCCUCAUUUAAUUUCUUUAUAUAUCAAAUUAUAUCCUCAUUCUUUUGAUUUUGUUCUUUUUAUUUGAGAUAGUUUUUUAUUUUUCAAUUUUACCCCUUCAUUUUUUUUCUUCUUUCAUAUUUGAUGCUCAAUCUUUUCGUUUUCUUUUCUUUUUUGCUUUGGUGAGGGUUUUAAUUUGAGAAUAUUUUUUAUUAUUAUUUAUCAUUAAACUGAUUGACAAUUGAAAUUUUUAAUUGAAUUUUUGUUUUCAAUUUAAAUGUUCAUAAUACAGCGACAAUGAGUUUCUUUUUUAAAAAAAAUAUAAAUAUUCUUUGUUUUAUGUUGGAAAACAAUUUAUCUAGCCUGCAUCGCUUCACCAAUCUUGUUCUAUAGCUAAAUCAAAAUGAUAAUUGCAAGUUGAGAAUAAUUGGGAGGCUUAACCUAAUGGUUAGCCAACCCUUUCUAUAUAUAUAUGUAGGGCAAUAUACAAUAGUAAUGGUGGAGGUUACCACACAAGAAUAUGUCUACAAUAUUUUCUAUAUACAAUAUUUCCUAUAUAAGUACAUUCUAUAAUAUGCCCCCUCAAGCUGAGGGUGGAGGAUCAACCCGAAGCUUGAAACGAAAAGCAGUAAACAAAGAAGUAGGAAGUGGCUUAGUGAAGACAUCGGCAAGUUGAUCCUAGGAGGAAAUAAAACGAAUCUGAAUCUCCUUCUUUGCAACUCUAUCUCGGACAAAAUGAUAAUCGACCUCAACAUGUUUUGUGCGAGCAUGAAAAACAGGAUUCACAGACAAAUAAGUGGCACCAAGGUUGUCACACCAGAUAAUAGGAGCAGAAGUAGACGGAAUCUGGAGAUCUGUUAAUAAAUACUGAAGCCAGAUAACCUCAGCAGUGUCAUCAGCUAAGGCUUUGUACUCAGCCUCAAUAGAAGAGCGAGCAACUGUGCGUUGCUUACCGGAUUUCCACGAAAUCGGCGUUUGACCAAAAAACACAAGGUAACCACCCGUAGAUUUUCUGUCCUCAACACUGCCUACCCAAUCUGCAUCUGUAAAACCAUGUAAGGCAAAAGAAGAACUGCGAGUAAUAUGUAAGCCAUGUGAUGCCGUACCCUGAAGAUAACGCAAGAUGCGUUUCACGGCAGCCCAAUGAGAAUCUGUAGGAGCAUGCAUAAACUGACAGACUCUGUUAACAGCAAAACAAAUAUCUGGGCGCGUAAAAGUGAGAUACUGAAGAGCACCCACAAUUUGACGAAAGCGGGUAGCAUCAGAAAACAAUGGAUCUGGCAGAAUGGUAGCUUUGGAUGUAGAGAUAGGGGUAUCAACAGGUUUGCAAGAUAACAUAUCAGCCCGAGUGAGGAUGUCAAGUAUAUAUUUAUGCUGGCAAAGCAUAAGACCCAUACUAGUAGACUGAACCUCAAUACCCAAAAAGUAAUGAACAGAACCCAAGUCGCGAAGCUUAAAUUCUGAGCUGAGCUCAGUAGCUGAAUGAGGCGUUGGAGCAGAAGAGAGUUACUACCCGUAAGCAGAAUAUCAUCAACAUAGACCAGAAGAUAACAAAUAUCAGCACCAACAGAGAAGAUAAAUAAUGAGGUAUCCACCUUAGAGGCACGGAAACCAAUAGAUAACAGGAAAUCAUUCAGACGAGUGUACCAAGCCCGCGGAGCCUGUUUUAAACCAUAUAGAGAUUUAUGCAAUCGGCACACAUGAGAGGGGAGAGCAGAAUCAACAAAACCUGGAGGUUGUUUCAUGUAGACCUCCUCGUCAAGAACACCAUUGAGGAAGGCAUUAUGGAUGUCAAGCUGAUGAAUUUUCCAACCACACGAAACUGCAAUGGAGAAGACUAAUCUGACGGUCGCCUGUUUGAUGACCGGACUAAAGGUUUCAGAGUAAUCAAUACCUUCUUGCUGAGUGAAACCUCUAGCAACCAGACGCGCCUUAUACCUCUCGAUGCUGCCAUCAGAUCUGCAUUUAAUCUUGUAUACCCACCGACUACCAACAACAUUCAUGGAGGGAUGAAACGGCACUAAGGUCCAAGUUCAGUUUGCACGUAAGGCCUGAAUUUCCUCACGCAUAGCACUAUGCCACACCUCAUAUCUGUUAGCAUCAUUAAAAACAAGUGGCUCAUGAGAGGGAGGAGAAACUACCCGGCUGAAGGAGACAGCAGAGGCUGCGGCAGUGGCUGUGGACAGCGUUGUCUUGGGCUGCCUUGGACAAAGAACCAUGGGAUGUUGACUAGCAGCUAGGCAUGGAGAACUGUGACCUGUACCUGGAAGAGGCUGAAGAGGAUAUGAGGAGAGGUCUACACAGAGCUGCAGACCAGCUGGAGAAGCAGUGGAGGGACUGGUCGGCACUGCAGACACUGGUGAGGCUGCUGCAGAACUGGGAUGAGCUGAUGCAGAACCGGGCUGCUCUGUUGCAGCAGACCUGAGAAUAUGCACAUCCGGUGAUGGAGAACCUGUACCUGCACAAUGAUCAUUGGAAAGACAAGCAUAUGGUGACAGUAUGGUAGUGUGGGAUGGUGAUGAAGGGGUGGCAGAAUCAAUGGGCAAAGGGGUAGUCUGUUGGGGCCGGUUUGGUAAGUAGUAGGCUGAAAGGAUGGAGGAGGGUGCAAGGAUGGAAGAUAGGUAGGUGGGGUGGGAGGUACCGAUGAGGAUGUUACUUGUUCAGACUUCGCAAAAGGAAAGACAUUUUCAUGAAAACGAACAUGACGGGAGACAUAAAUACGAUCAGACUCUAAGUCAAGACAACGAUAACAAAGAUGGGAUGAGCUAUAACCUAAAAACACACAAGGAGAAGACCAAAAAUCUAAUUUAUGAGCAUGAUAUGGACGCAAAAAGGGAAAACAAAGAGACCCAAAAGUACGUAGGAAGUUAUAAUCAGGAGUGCGUCGAAACAGACACUCAAAUGGAGAUGUAUUUUGGAGAACAAGAGUAGGCAUGCGAUUAAUAAGGUAGACCGAUGAUUCAAAAGCAUAGUUCCAAAAUCGCAAUGGGGCACUAAAUUAGCCUAAAAGGGUUAGGCCAGUUUCGACAAUAUGUCGAUGACGACGUUCAACAGUGCCAUUUUGUUCAUGAGUAUGAGGACAAAUUAACCGAUGAUGAAUACCAAUGGUCUGAAAAAAUUUAUUUAAUUUACGAUAUUCACCGCCCCAAUCAGUUUGAAUAGAUUUAAUUUUAAGAGAAAACUGACGCUCAACAAGUGUUUGAAAACGUUGAAAAGUGGAAAAAACAUCAGAUUUCGCAACAAGCGGAUAAUACCAUAUAUGUUUGGUAUGCGCAUCGACAAAAAUAACAAAAUAGCGGAAGCCAUCAGAAGAAAACAUAAGGGCAGGACCCCAAACAUCACUAAAAAUUAAUUCAAGUGGGGCAGAAGUUUUGUGACCCGUAGGUCGUAAUGACAAACGGGACGACUUUCCUAAAGGACAAGCUUGACACUGAGUAAGAGAACGUCUAGAAGUACAUACGAUUUUAUUAUCGGAAACUAACAAAUUAAAAAUGCGAGGUGUUGGAUGACCCAAACGACGAUGCCACAGGUCGGCAGUCGCGGAGAUGCAAGGAGACCAAAAAGCUUGAGGAACUGACGUGGCAGAAGACUCGGAGAGGACAUAAAGGCCAUCAUGACUCUGACCGGAAAGAAGAACUUCCUUGGUGACGAGAUCCUUCACAUAAAACAUAGAAGCGUGAAAUUCAAAAUAAACAUGAUUAUCACGACAGAAUUUUUGAACAGAUAACAACGGUUUGGUAAUGUGAGGCACAUGGAGAACAUUAGAUAAUGUAAACAUGCGUUUUGGGGAAUGUAAUUUAGUAUGUCCAAUAUAGGAUAUGCCAAGGCCCUUACCGUCACCAACAUGCAAAUAAUCAUUACCAAGAUAGGGUGCAGAAUCGGUUAGAGUUCCAAGAUCAGGUGUGACGUGUUGAUUUGCACCGGUGUCGGGGAACCAAGUCGCAGCAGAGAUAUUCCCAAUAGCAAGAUGAGCAGAAGGCUGUGGAGAGCUGCUACGAAACUGGGAACAAUGGGGAGCUGUGUGCCCAAAACCGGAGCACAAUUGGCAACGUACAUGCUGCUGUCCAGACCACUGCCCAGCACUGGAAUUGCGCCUGGUUUGCUGCCAGUGGUUUGGUCGCCAAUCUGCAGCAGAUUGGCCCCUGUUCUUGGGAGGGAAGCAGUUGUUGUGGGGACGCCAAUUACCUCUAGAGCGACCCCUGUUGCGGCUGAAGUUGGGGCUGUGAUGAGACAUAGCAUGGUGUGCAGAAAACUGUGGUGUUGGCAGCAGAGGUGGCUAUUGCAGCAGAGAAGAAGAAGACAGCAGAGAAGGAGCGGCAGCCAUGGAAUGGAAAGAGUUCUUGUGCAUAAAUUCAUGGGUAAGAAGGUGGCUGUGAAGAUCAGCAUAGGAUAGCGGUUCUGCCUUGGUUAUGAGACUCGUUACCAAGUCUUUGAACUUACCACGAAGGCCACGAAACACAUAAAGAUUGAAAUCUUCAAGAGACAUGAGGCGACUAGCAGCCGCCAAUUCGUCAAAUAACGAUUUGGCUUGCUGCAUGUAUAGACUAACCGAUGAGUCACCUUGCCAAAGGUCUUGAAAGGAGCAAUGGAGUUGCAUGAUGCGAGAAUUAGAUGGAGAGGCAAGCGUUUUCUCAAGAGUGCGCCAAACACAAUGCGAAGUAGAACAAUCUACCACGAGAUGCAACACAUCCACGGAGAGAAAGGAGAGCAAAGCACUCAAAAUAAGUUGAUCAUGUUGCUUCCAACGAAGAAAAGAAGGGCUGAUGAUGGAGGAAGAACCAGCAGAACUGUCAAAAAUAUGAGAUGGAGGACAUGGCACGGAACCGUCAACAAAGUGAAAAACACCUUGACCAAGGAGAUAUGGCUUCAUCUGCAUUCUCUAAUAGAGAUAAUUUGUGUUCGUAAGUUUUAGCGAAACAACUUGGUGAGUGUUCGCUAAAGGAACAAUAGCUGUAGCGUGAGUUCCCAUGAGAGGUAAAGGAACGACAGGGACUUGGGAGGAAGAAUCAGAGACAAGCUCUGCAGGUGGAGGCUGCUGUGGGGAAGAAAGGGCGCUAGCGGCAGCAGCUUGGGGAGGGCUGGCCGGCUGUGCUGCACUACCUGUGGAGAGGGAGAAGUCGGCGGCAGCAGUAGAAUCCAUGUAGAGAAAGUAAAGAGAGGGUCGGCUGCAAAAGAAGGAAGGGAGAAAAGAGUUCUGACGGCAGAAGGCUCUGAUACCAAGUUGAGAAUAAUUGGGAGGCUUAACCUAAUGGUUAGCCAACCCUUUCUUUAUAUAUAGGUAGGGCAAUAUACAAUAGUAAUGGUGGAGGUUACCACACAAGAGUAUGUCUACAAUAUUUUCUAUAUACAAUAUUUUCUAUAUAAGUACAUUCUAUAAUAGGGCGUACUAGGGGUGCUAAUACAUUCCCUUUACGCAACCAGUCCCUUACAUUAGAAUCUCUGAAAGACCAGUUAAGUUUUCUAGUGACCAUAAUAUUAGGUGGCGACUCCAAAGAACCAAUCAAGCAAAACAAAUGAAAAAUCGAUAUCGGACGCCGCGCGGGGGACGUGCGACACUACUUAUCUUGCGUAAACGGUUCUUAUAGCUGGCCAUGAAACCAGAAUUCAUACUUUGUUGUUGUUGCAUGCACUGUGAGACUGAUGGAAACUCAAGACAAAAAUAGGUUUAUAAAAUUUUUGAAAGGUGUUUGAUAUUUUAUUUCUUAUUGCUUUGAUGAAACGACUACCCAUUGUUAUAAAAUCUAAUUAAAUAUUUGAAGAGUAAAAGAACGAAAGAGUUUUGUUUGGAUUUGAACGAAACAGUCUCUUUGCUUAUUAUUUGAAAUUAUGUUUGAUUAUUAUUUUUGAACCGAUCAGGUUAUGAGAAUGAAACAGAUUUCCUGUAAAUAAAUAUUAUAAAGUUAAUAUAAUACCCUUAUAUAGCCUUAUAUAUAUACAUAAACUAGAUAAAAUGAGUAUUUUAUGUAGUUACGUGAGAUGUUAAUUUUCAUAAGAAUUUACAGAAGAAAGAGUUGCGUUUGUAUUUGAGGAGUUAACUUCUCCAAGAACAAGCUAUCUUCUUGGUCAUAUUAUUUGAAGUUCUUCAACGAAGAAAGCAUGGCUGCUUUUCAUCAAGAAUAUAUAUUUUUAAUCGUUGAAUUUCAUGUGACUUGACAUUUCCCACUUUCAACUUUUCAACAGACGGUACUCUCUAUAUAUACCACCAAGCAACGACAUUACUAAGCACAAUCAAGGCAUUACGAAAAUAUUACGUACUGUCUAGCAAAACCAAAAGCCUUUACUUUUUUUAUAGUACUAUCAACCACCAAAAAGAAAGAUGGGAGAUAGCAACAAUCAAACAACGAAAUUUGUUUUGAUCCAUGGUUAAGCUUCAGGAGCUUGGGCAUGGUACAAGGUGAAGACAAUGCUAGAGGCAGCUGGCCUCUCUGUCACAUCCCUUGACAUGAGUGCAUCAGGGGUGAACACAAAAACACUGGAAGAAGUUGUUACUUUUGAUCGGUAUAAUGAGCCCUUGAUCGAGUUCAUGGCCAACUUAGCUGAAAUUGAAAAGGAAAACCUUUUGCAGAGAUAUGACGGGCAAAACCUUUUGCUUAAUUCAACAUGGAAAAUUCAUAGCAUUAAUGCACAUGAAAACAUGCAAAUGUAAAAGGCAUUACCAUCAUCUCUAACUUUAAAUUAACCCUUACACAUUUUGUUCUUUCUGUUAGUUUAUUGAAAAUAGCCCAGCCGUGGCAGACGGGUGGCAGAGUGUAGUGUCUUCAACCGCGGGAUAUGAGACAUUCAUGAAGUCCACUGCUUUUAACCUUGCCUCCCCUGAGGUACGGCUCCUGAAUCUGAUUACAAAUUGAUUGUCGAUCUUGGACUGAUCUGUUUGACUGUAAUAACUAGUGUAGUGAUGAUAUAUUUUUCUUGUUUGCAGGAUCUCAGUCUCCAAACGCUUUUAAAGAGAUCAGGAUCAUUGUUUCUUGAAAGUCUGGCCAAGGCAAACAAGUUCACGAAGGAGAAAUUUGGAUCGGUUGUGCGAGAUUAUGUUGUUUGUACUCAAGAUUUAUUGGUGGUUCCGUCAUUGCAGCGCUUCAUGAUUGAACACAACGAGGUUAAGGAAGUGAUGGAGAUUCCGGCAGAUCAUAUGGCAAUUGCUUCUAGGCCUAAAGAACUCUGUCAAUGUCUUCUGGAGUUCGCACGUAAGCAUGCAUAGAUUGUUGUUAAUUGCAACAUUUGUAUCGAGUUCUAGGCUGCCUAUAUAUAUGUAUAAUAGGAUGGCUAUUGAAAUAAAAUAAAGAAGAGAUAGAUGUUGCCUUCAUUUUUAGAUUUGCUCUUAUUUGUAUUUAUUGUAUUCUUUUCCAAUUAUGAAUAGUAGACACGAUUGAUUUCUAGUCUGGCUUGAUUUGUUAUAUUAUGUUCUCUGCAGCUUGCACUGUUGUUAUCAUCCAUGCACAACAAACUUGAAACUUUUCGUUAACCAAUUAUCCUCUUAAUUAAAAUUUAUAAAUAAUGUUGUUUUAAGAAAAAUAGAUCAUCAAAUUUUACAAAUCUAAACGUAGAAGCUUUCAUAUGAGGGCUAAUUGGGUUAAUUUCAAUAGAUGGAGGUACAAUUGAAAAGUUUUUUUUGUUUUGUGGCUGAAUGAAAAACGGGGUGAUACAUCCUUUUCCCUUAAAACUAUGUGUUAGAUACCCUUCUAUUUCCUCAAAAUUGUGAGAAAUUUUUCUUUCUUUCACUCUCUUUUCCUUGUAAUAAGCCUAUACAUGGCCAUGAAUCUCAAAGGCCAAUGCCCUCCAAAUAACGUUGAAAUAUCCACUUUGAAUAACCAAUACAAAUAUUUAAAACAAAAUCAAAAGCAUCGUUCUGAAAAUGUAUGGUUGGGCUAACCUGAAAUCUCAUUUGGCGAUCCCCUUUAACCAGAACCAAAAUCUGUAUGGUUGGACUAACCUGAGAUCCCAUCCGGCGAUCCCCUUUAACCAGAACCAAUAUCCUGUGUGUGAUUGGGCUGACCUGAGAUCCUAUCUGGUGAUUCCUUUUAACCAGAACCAAAAUCUGUGUGGUUGGGCUGACCUGAGAUCCCAUCCGGCGAUUCCUUUUAACCAGAACCAAAAUCUGUGUGGUUGGGCUGACCUGAGAUCUCAUCCGACAAUCCCUUUAACCAAAACCAAUAUUCUCUGUGUGGUUGGGCUAACCUGAGAUCCCAUACGGCGAUCUCCUUUAACCAGAACCAAAAUCUGAGUGGUUGGGCUAACCUGAGAUCCCAUCCGGCGAUCCCCUUUAACUAGAAUCAAAAUCCUGUGUGUGGUUGGGCUAACCUGAGAUCCUAUCCGGCAAUCCCCUUUAACCAGAACCAAUAUCCUCUAUGUGGUUGGGCUAACCUGAGAUCCCAUCCGGCGAUCCCCUUUAACCAGAACCAAUAUCCUGUGUGUGGUUGGGCUAACCUGAGAUCCCAUUCGGCGAUCCCCUUUAACUAGAACCAAAAUAUGUAUGUGGUUGGGCUAACCUGAGAUCCCAAUAGGUGAUCCCCUUUAACCAGAACCAAAAUCUGUGUGGUUGGGUUAACCUGAGAUCUAUUUGGCAAUCCCCUUUAACCAGAACCAAGGCUAACCUGAGAUCCCAUCCGGCGAUCCCCUUUAACCAGAACCAAUAUCUUGUGUGUGGUUGGGCUAACCUGAGAUCCCAUUCGGCGAUCCCUUUUAACCAGAACUAAAAUCUGUAUGUGGUUGGGCUAACUUUAGAUCCCAUUUGGUGAUCCCCUUUAACCAGAAUCAAAAUAUGUAUGGUUGGGCUAACCUAAAAUCCCAUCCGGCGAUCCCCUUUAACCAGAACCAAAAUCUGUGUGGUUGGGCUAACCUGAGAUACCAUUCGGCGAUCCCCUUUAACCAAAACCAAUAUCCUGUGUGUGGUUGGGCUCAAGGUUGUUAAAAUCGCGAUUUUGACACGGCACGGAAAAUCCAAAACAAACUCGGAUCGUAAAAACGGAUCGUAAAAUCGUAAAAUCGUAAGGAAUUUUAAAAUACAUUAACAAAAAAUUCAUGCUUCAAAUAAAAAUUCAUACAUAUACUAUACAAUUAAAUUUUUCGUAAAAUCAUUCCAUUAUUCCAUUAAUAAAAUCAAUUCCAUCAUUACUAGACUUGCAUUGCAGUGAAGAAGGUGUGAAUAUCAUAAUCAUCAGUGAUAUAUUACGUGUGGCUUUGAAAAAGGAAAAAGAAACGAACUCAAUUCAAAAAUGUAUAAACGCAUGAAGCAGAACAAUUCUUUGACUAACAAUUAUAUCUAUGAAUUCCAGCAAUUGCAGUGAAGAAGGUGUGAAUAUCAUAAUCAUCACACAUUUUCAAUCUAGCUACAAGAGAAACAUAUUACGUGUGGCUUUGAAAAAGGAAAAAGAAACGAAUUCAAUUAAAAAAUGUAUAAACGCCUGAAGCAGAAAAAUUAUUUGAUUAACAAUCAUAUCUAUGAAUUCCAGCAAGGUUCAUACAACAUCUACUCUCCAUUAUGCUAAACUUCUCAAGAAAAGAAACUUAUGACUAUAUAUGAAGGGUUAGCACUGCAACUCAAAGAAUCUUGCAGAUAAAAAGAAGAUGGAAAGCCUAAAGAAUGAACAAGCAGUACAAAUAAAAAAGUAUAUUAGUACUUGAUAUCAGGAUUUUGGACCAAUAAUCUGUCAUGAUCUACAUAAGUUUGCAGUAACAGUUUCUUAUAGGGAGAAGAAUCUGAUAGCCUUUGUCACAAAGACAUUUGCAAUGUAUCAUCAAGCAUUCCCCAGUUCUCUUGUCGUCACAGAUUCUUCACAACCUGUCACUGCAUCACUUUCCAUCAAACCGACAGUCCACGUAUCAAAAUUUUGAAUACAUACUAGGAAACAAAAUUCAUCCCAGAGUUAAGGUCAAUACAAUAGCUAGGCAGAAUGGAACACGUUACAAUCUAACUUUGAUUUUGAUCCAAAUUUUCAUGGAAGUGAACAAAGUGGAAAAUUAAAGAUAAAUGGUUGUACCUUGAUUGCAUUAGUGCUCUCUAGUUCAGUGAUUUUACCAUCUUCUUCAUGAUUUUCAUGCAGUGGCUCUUCGUCUGCAGGCAUUAUAAUUUCAUCCCAGUAUCCCACCACUGAUUGAUCUCUGUCAUGUUGUUCCUCAUUUUCUUCAGCCACUAUUAUUAAACACCAAUUCCAAAAUUUUCAUUAUAAUUAGACCCAAUUAUCUUAGAGAACAAUUAAAAUUAACCCAAGAAUCCAAAAAAGUAAAAAAAAAAAAAAACCCACAUAUCUACUUCUAUAAGUAUUUCAGAAACCCAUUUUAAUACUUCAGUGUGAGCUUACAAGUUACAACCAUCAAGCCUUUGACUAUUGAAGCAGUAAAUAGAGGGACAAUGAUUUGUUCUUCUCCACGUAAGGAUUUCAGGUGGACGAUGCAGGGAGUAAAAACGAGACACAAAAAACCAGAGGCGAGACAGAAAAAACAAAGCUUGGGAAUAAAUUCUUACCUUAUUCUCGCUAGCAAGCAAAACCAGAGGCGCUGAGAGAGUGGAGAGUGAAAAGUGGAGAUUGGAGAUAAUUAAAUUCAGAAUUUCAGAUCUUAAAUAUUCAGCAGACAAUUAGUAAAAGUGGAGAGUAGAGAGUGGGAACAGGGGAAGGGGAAAGGGGGAACUAGGGAAGGGGAAAGGGGAAAGGGGAAAGGUAAAGGGUGGAGGCGCUGCAGCUCUUUUAUAUUUCACGUGAAAUCGUGAAAUCGGUCCGUGAUUAACGUUUUUUCCGAGUUGAACCGAUUUUAUGCGAGUUUGACCGGGUUUGACCGAUUUUACUGGUUUUCGAGUUUUAAACUCGAUUUUGCAUGUUUUAUAUGUUUUGACUCGUAAAAUCGUACGAUUUUACGAGUCAAAACGCGAUUUUGAUAACCUUGGUUGGGCUAACCUGAGAUCCCAUUUGGCGAUCCCCUUUAACCAAAACCAAAAUCUGUAUGGUUGGGCUAACCUGAGAUCCCAAUCGGCGAUCCCCUUUAACCAGAACCAAAAUCUGUGUGGUUGGGCUAACCUGAGAUCCCAUCCAGCAAUCCCCUUUAACCAGAACCAAAAUAUGUGUUCUUCCUGUUGACAAGGUUUGAACUUGCUUCCUUCGUUUUCUUCUUCUUCUUCUUCUUCUUAAAAAUUUCCUAAUGGUAGGGUUCUUGUCAUUUUUCUUCUUGAUGGUAAGGUUUGAUCAAACUUUUCACUUAAUGCUUUCUUUCUUUUUUUAUUUUUGUGAUUUUGCAGGACUGACAUCUAUCCUUCCUAAUUGCAGGGUUGACAUCUGUCCUUCCUGAUUACUGAAAUUAACUAGAUUUUUCUUGAUGACAAGGUUGGAAAACUUGGUGCUUCCUUAUUGCGGGGUUGACCUGAAGACUCAUCAUGAUGACAAGGUUGAUCUUCUCAUUUCUUUGAGAUUUUCAUGACAGUAAGGUUUAUCUCAUCUUCUUCCCGUUUAAGGUCACAAUCCAUGAUUCUCUGUUAUUAUCAGCUCAAUGAUUCUUUUUUUUUUCUAUUUUUUUUUUAAUCUUGCUGGACUUCUUUGAGGAUUUUCCUGUAACGAAUAAAAAAUAUGUGUGCAAUGCUUUAAGGUUAAAUGACAUGCACGCAUCCUUACCUGAUUUCAAAUAUAGGUCCCCCUCUUUGAUGUUCCAUUGUCAUAGAGUGCCUUAGUUUGCUAUCCAAAAGCCUUCUUUACUCUUUCCAUGUACUGGCCCGUUCAUGUGUUAGUCAUCUACUCCACUAUAAAUGCAGCGCCUAUCAUAGGCUGUCUUUGAUGAUUAUUGGUUUCACUAUUUAUCAAGCUUGACAAUGACCCCGAGUGUGAUGUUGCUUGAUUCGUCAUGAAGGAGCUUAACAAAUCAUUUCAUCUCCUGGAUUCUUUCGAGAAUCAUUAUUUGAUUAGCUGUGUGCAUCCUACCAGCACUCAUCAAGAGGUUUUCUAGUAUUGUCCUCAUCUUAGAUUGCUAAUCAGCCAUUGACUUGCCUCCAGUGCUCAUUCAUCUGAUUAUAUUCCUUUCAACACCAUUGUCCUCAGCCUCACUGAUUCAUCAUUUAAUCAUUUUUUUAUUGCCCCUAGCUGAUCUGAAUACUGUUUGUUUUUCCUUCUCAUGGUCAACUGUAUUGCCCUCGGCUGCUCAACAUUUUAAGAAGUGUCGAGAAGUAUUGAUGUCACUUCUGUCAAGGAUUUUGCAUACUCGAUCGGUGCUUUUUUUGUUUGACAAUCUUUCUUGUUCGGAAAUCAACUCUCAUAUUUCAAAGAUCAUGUCUAUUUCAAAGUCUAAUUGUUGAAAUGAAAUCAAAGAAAUGUCAGUAUUAUUUUAUUUUAUUUUAUUUGUUUUUUUGGAAUUCAAGCUUCUUUAGUUAAAGACCCGACACGCGUCAUGUAGUCCUUUGAUUAUCUUGUAUUUUGAAAACAGAAAUUGACCGGUUGAAAGAUUAAAAUGGCUUUUUUCCAUGGUUCUUUGUGUUAAUUUUAAUAUCUGAUCUUGGGUAUAUCUUUUGAUAGUCUGUGAUGAGGUGACCUUUUUGUGAAUUUCACUGUACUGCCCCCGGCUGCUCAACAUUUUAAGAAGUGUCGAGAAGUAUUGAUGUCACUUCUGUCAAGGAUUUUGCAUACUCGAUCGGUGCUCUUUUUGUUUGACAAUCUUUCUUGUUCGGGAAUCAACUCUCAUAUUUCAAAGAUCAUGUCUAUUUCAAAGUCUAAUUGUUGAAAUGAAAUCAAAGAAAUGUCAGUAUUAUUUUAUUUUAUUUUAUUUUAUUUGUUUUUUUGAAAUUCAAGCUUCUUUAGUUAAAGACCUGACACGCGUCAUGUAGUCCUUUGAUUAUCUUGUAUUUUGAAAACAGAAAUUGACCGGUUGAAAGAUUAAAAUGGCUUUUUUCCAUGGUUCUUUGUGUUAAUUUUAAUAUCUGAUCUUGGGUAUAUCUUUUGAUAGUCUGUGAUGAGGUGACCUUUUUGUGAAUUUCAAAACAAGAUGCUAAAGUCAAAACUCAGGCUUUAUCAAGAGAGGUUGUUUCUCUUUUUUUUCUUAGCACUUAUUUUAUCAGCAUGCAUAAUAACAAGUAGCUUAAUCCAUGAAGUCACGACCCUUAUGGAAAAACUCUUCAAGCUUUGAGAGCGCCAUUUAUCGGUUCAAAUUGCUUACUCCAUCGAAAAGAGCUUUUAAAAGCACGUAAUGUAAGGUAUGGUUUAUGGCUAUGAAAGAAAGGAAUUUUACAAGCUCAAAAGGUGUUUGAGGUUCUCAAAAACCUAGGAUUAACAUCAAUUAUUCAUCAUUUCUCUUUAUCUUGUUAUCUUUGUAGAGAAAGCGACAUAUAACAUUAACCUCAAAUAUCAGAAUUCUCUUAACAUAGGUCAUAAUGCAAAUCCAACUUUUUCUUUUAUGAAUAAUCAAUCUCAAUCAUCUGAUAACAUCAGGGGCUUUAUCAUGGAUGCCAAAAGUCAUGUUUGUAGCUCAGUAUUUUUUUUUUUUUUGUAUCAACUUUUGAUAUUUGUUGUCUUUUCUUGAUUGAAACUUCUUUUGUCUUUCCUAAACUCGAUAGGCAUUCUCCUUCCUUUAUCUUUAACUUGUCUUUAAGUGUAGGCAAUUUUCAAUUUUUUUUAUGGCUUUCACAUAGCCUUUCUCACAGUUUUCUAACAUGCCCCAAGUCUAGGUCUUCUUUCUUUUAGCUCUCUUUCAAACGUAGGACUUUUGUUCUAAGCCUUCCCUUUAUCAAUUGACUCUAACAUUGUCCUCAUCUUUGCUAACAUAAAUCUCUUAUUUGCCCCCCAGUGUGGGGUGUGAUCCUGGUCAGGGUUUCUUUUGAAAAGAAAUAUUAUAUCAGGCUCAAAAUGGGUUUGCAAAGGAUAAAUAUCUUUAGAAAGUGAGGGGAUAUCAAAGAUGGUCUUUUCUCAUUUCAAGCAAGGUUGGUUAGAACCGAUAAAUUUUGACCUCAUCCAGGGUAGUGAUUUGGAUUUGUAAGAAUCAUGAUUCACGAGUCCAUAACUACCGAAUCCACUACGUGUCAUUAUGCAUACUGCUAAAACUUAGCUACAUGAUUUGUGGUUCAGCUUCAUGUGUGGGCUCAAAAUCUGUUUGGUCACCCCAUAUUAUUUUAACAAGCAUCGAGUCAUUUCUGCAAUCAAAAUACUUUUAAACUUUCAGGAUUGAUUAGCUUUAAUCGUGCGUUGGAGUUCGAUCAAAGUAUUUCGCCAAAAUAAAUUUUGAAAGAAACAUCUUUUUAUUUCAAAACAAUAAUAAGACUAAGAACAAAACAUAAUCCAUUAAAAGGUGAGAUGUGAUCCCAAAACCAAAAUGAUGGACAACACAAUUGACAACAUGACAUUUCUAAGCAGCUUCUUCAUCAGUCAUUCACGUCUUGUUAUCACUCAUUGGUGAUGGCCUGUUGAUGAUAUGAUCGUUGGUAUCAUUCUUCACAAAAUCUGCUUGUUUCUUGCUCACAAAUCUUUUGGACUUAAUCUUCAAAGUUCUCUCAAUUCUUCAACUUUUUCUCUAGAUUAUUCCGUCUAGAGGAUCAUGUCUUGGGGCAAUGAUCUAACUAUGAUUUUUCCUUGGUGGCAAAGGUGAGCUAGAAUGGGAAGCACCCAUGGAGCAGACCCCUUCCUAAUCGUAACAUAUCAAUGUGCCUAGUCUUAAAGUUUAAGAAUAUCACAUCAUGAAAGUAUUCUCCCAUCAGCACAACAUCAGCAUUGCAAAAGGCCAAGGGGCUUACGUGGGGUUUUUUUCUUGUUAAAACCCCUAUGUUUAUCGAAUGCCUCUUGCUCCAUCGUUUUCUGUCAUGAUCCUCCAUGAUCCAUACUUCCAUGAAAUUUUUCUCCCUAUCAAUGCAAGUCAUGGCAAGCUUUCCUUUGUAAUCAGUAAGUCUAAUAUCUUUAUCAUUGCCCUCAGAGGUUGAUAGGGGAAGUGGAAACAAACAAUGACUCUCCCUUUUUAUAUCAAAUGCAAAGACGUUUCCCUUCCAAGUGAGCCAAUGAAAUGAGCCAUUUACGGAUACUUUUGUCAUGCGAUGAAUGGACUCUUCAUGAGGCAACUUCACUUCGUCCGAAAGCUUCCAUUUCCAAAUUGCUGAUUCAAACAACUCGACUCUAAUGCAUUGGUACAUAUAUAAUUCUUUAUAUGAGCGGAAUUUGGGCUUCGAGAAUCUCACAAUCUUGUAUCGUAAAGGCUUUGACCUUUCAAUCAUUAGGCCAAAUUCUAUAGUAUCAUAUCGUGUCUUUGGAUUUGGGAUCUUUUGCCAUUGUUGGAUCGAAGGGAUACACACAUAAUAGCAUGAUUUAUUAUGUGCAUGACAAAGUAGAACUCCUUGAUUUGUUGAUGACACAAUCUCCACGUGUUCUGGAAGAAAAUCAAAGGGUAUUUGCAUAUGGGUCUUCACAGCGUCAGUUGAAACAAAGGGAACUUGAUAUUUGUUCUUGAUCAUGCUUUGGAUAAAGAAACCAGAGACAAUGUUGGUUCUUUGGCUGUGUAGCCUUGUGAAAAGGGAUUCGUAGGUCAACUUGUUGUACUCCUUAGAAAGAAGCCUCCAUUUCCCCACAAACUCCAUUGAUGAGCGUGUCAGCACUUCAUAGAUGGCAUCUCGGCACAAGUCCCUAGCUGAGUCCAUUUGAAACAGAGAAUCUUAUUACCACAGGCUGUGUCUCUUGAGCGAAUUUUCCUUGCCACCGUCAGAUGUUGACAACUCUUAACUCUGAAAAAGGAGAGCAGAAUUGGGGGACCUUUAUUUCAAACUAUAAACAUGCAUGUUUAAACGUAUGAGGAUGUUUUAUAUGAUGAGCUUGCCCUUCAAGGGUUGACACAUGGUCGUAAUCCUUGCAAGAAUUUUGAUUCUUGCUCUACAUCGGAAAUUUUCUGAGUAACGAUCAUUGUGUCAUCCACAAGUCUUGAGUUCAAGAUGCUUCAAGAAGGGUUUACUCUGAUGCAAAACAAAAGGUAACAUGCACAACCUAAGGACAUGUUCUAUUCAUUAAGUGAGACAAAAGGUAGGUUGACUAUCUAGUCUCAAAAGAGUCUCAUAUCUGCCUAGUGACGAUCUCCGUAAAGACAGUAUAGGGGUGUUGCGAGAAACAGUUAAGGCACGUAUGCCCACCAUUACAAAGCAGACACUCAGAUAUGAGUUGGGUGUUUCACGCAUCUGAACCUUGACCAAUAGUCAUAGGGCAGAUCGCUAAUUCCCCACCUAACUUAGAAGCUUGUGUGUGCUUUUCAAAAAUUAAAGUAUGUGAUGCAUGAGACAGUUCUAUACAAUACAUGAACAUAUAUGUACAGAAAUUAAAGCAUGUAAGAAAAUAAAUAAAAUAAGCUUAUUAACAGAAAACAAGCAAACCAAACAAAACACAAUUAUCAGACAAAAACAAAGCUUAGUCCAUAAAGUCCCCAGUGGAGUCGUCAUUCUGUUGCACGUAUGCGGCGUCUCGGCGAAAACAUCCACCCUCAAAAUUUUAUCUAAUGCGGCAAAUGUGGGGAGACAAGGAAUUCUUGUCUUUUAUCAAUGGAAAAUUAGAAUGGAAGUUGCCACCUAUUAUUUUGGUCACUUGGAACCCUAACUGAUCUCAGAAAUCGAGUACGGAGACUGGUUAAAGGGAAGGUAUUAGCACCCCAAAUACGCCCUACCUAAGGUAGGCUGCAUUGUUUUAUUGUCUGAUAAAAUCUAAAGUCAUGUCGUGUUUUCUAGUUGUUGGUCUAUUUAUGGUUUAAGAAAAGUACUCCUCGGUAAGGAGGUCCUUAUCUUAUCGGGUAAAACAUAACCGUUCUAACCUCAACAAAAGAAAUUUAAUAUCCGGAAUACGUCUUACGUAUAAGAUCAUAACCCUAGAUAUUAAAAGAAAACAAAAAAUAUUUUUUUUGAAUUUUUGAAAUAUUGGCCUAGUUCUCGUGGCCUUAAUAAACUGGUUAUUAAAACCAAAAUGCAUACUAAUACAUAUAUAUAUAUAUAUAUAUAUAUAUAUAUAUAUAUAUAUAUAUAUAUAUAUAUAUAUAUAUUAAUUUUCUUUAUUGUAUGAAAAUACAAUAUGAUUUUUUUUGUUUUGAGAGACUUGGCCGUAUGCAUGAAAACAAAAUAUUUUUUUUUACGAAAACCAGGUAUUUUAAUACCGGAUUUGUAUCUUUACAGUAUAAAAAUACAAACCAAUAUCGAUCAAAAUGCAGUAAAAAACAUACAAGAAAAUCACAAAUUUUUUGAAAAAAAAUUUAGAAUUUUUUUUUAGGCUGGAUCCAGCUCGGCCCAUGUGGUUGGGCUGGACCUAGCAGGCCUAACCGGGUCACUGGCCCAAGCCAGUGAGAGGGUUGGGAAAACAAAAGGCACACGUGAGCUUCCUCACGCGUGCAUACUCAGUAACAUAUGCAAAUGGAAGUAAUUACUGUUAAAGUGAAUUAUAAUUCACUUGAACAGUUACAUUUGCAUUUCACUGUUCAAGUGAAUUAUAAUUCACUUGAACAGUGAAAUGCAAAAAUGGAACUGCAUGCACAGAGACGAGGAGAACAAACCUGGUGGCGGAAACGAUGUCGAAGACGAUGGUAAUGGGGUACGCUCACAGUGAUGCUGGUGGCGGUGGAGAGGAAGCCGACGAUGGAUCACGGUGGUUAUGACGGUGGCGGGCAGUGUUUGCUGCAGUUUUUCUUCUUCUUCCCUGUGCAGAGGCAUGCACCAGUCUCUGUUUUUUUUCCUUCCUCGUUUGCUUCUGUUUGGUUCUUCUCCUUUUGGUCUCUGGUGUUUCCUUCUGUCAGUUGUUCGUUAUUCUCUUUAGCUUCUUCCUCUGGUUUUCUCUCUGAAAUGCUCGGUUUACAGUGAAGUAGAUCGCUGAAGCUUUGGAACUGCUACUGAAGAAGAAGCCGAGGGCGUGCCUUUUGUUUUUCACUUCUCUUCGUUCCUCCCCUUCUGGAUUCUCCCCUGCUGUUUUCCCCUAUACUCCCACUCUUUCUCUUAUGCUUUUUGUGUUUUUUCUCAUUUUUCUUUAUGCACUCUUCCCCCUCUGUUUUCUUCUUUUUUCUUCCUCCUAGGCUGCUUCUUUCCUCUGGCUUUUAUAGCCAGAGGAUGCAGACAUUUUCCGGCAACAGAGUAACGGUCGCCGUACAUGGUGGCGUGAGACAUGCCCCCUGAUUGAAACGGCUCCAUUAUCGCUGCUAACGUCUCCUGCCUUUAACGCCUCAGCUGCCAUGUUUAAGAAGACAGUAAAUAGUGCUUCAAUGGAAACGACGCCGUAUGGAUUCUUCUGAUUUGGUCAUUGAAAUUUUCGCAAUUUUGUAAUCAAACCCCGGAAAAAUUGUAAUUGGGUCCCUUAAUUUUAUCACCUUUUCUGGUUUGGUCCAUGGUUUCGAAUUGUUUCAAUUAAGUCCCUAAUUAGCCAUCAAACUUCAAUAAUUAUGCAAUUAAACUCUUGAUUUAACUAAAUCAACUCUUCAAAAUUAUAAUUGAACCCCGGAACUUUAAUUUCUUCCAAUAAAAGCCUAAGUUUUCUUAAAAGAUCAAUUUUCUUGCAAUCAAACCCUCCAUAAAUUCAAUUAAACCUUAGAUAAAAUUUAAAUGAGUCCAUAAACAUCUGAUUUUAGACUUUUUUUUCUCAACUUGAAUUUUCUUUGUCAACAGGGUUUCCAUCAGUCAAAAAUAUAUUGUCAAAUUUCAACCUUUUGCAUUUUUGAACCUCCUCAACCAAUUCCAGCAUCCUUUUCUCGCUCUAAUUUUUUUUUUAAUAUAUUGUUUUUGGAUUUCUUCCGAAUAUAUAUUUUUGUAUUUUUUUUCAUUUUUUUGUGGGAACCCAAAAAUAAGUAACAACAAUGGUUAUUCAACAACUAACCACCAGGAAUCAUUGAGCUCUAAAAUACAUCAUUUAUGACCUCCAACCAAAACCAUCAAGAAUCUUUAAGCUUUGAUACCAACUAACACACAGACAGACAAGAGCGAAGGAUAAUUGUUACAAGUUAAAACCCUCAAAGAUCAAGAACAUUAUAACUAUAAGGAGACUUUAUGUUAACAAAUGGUGGUAAAACAUCUUUUUUUUACUACCACUGGUGGUUCUUGCCAACAGAUCACAAGUACAAAAAGUUCUUUAUUGGUAGAGUUGAAAGGGACGCACUGCUGCUACCGUAGGGUGAAAAAUUGUUUGAAGCAGUGUCAGAGUACGAUGACAUUGUGUUUGGUUUUAAAUUCGAUAAGUAGAAGUUUUCUAGUUUUGGUUUGACCCACAAUUGGGUAAAGCAAAGUAUUUUCUAGAAUUUUUCUUAUUGAAAAACUAAUCUUCUCCAUAACCUUAUUUUCAUGCACAUUGAAAAAAACAUGUUUGAAAACAUUUUCAACAGGGUUAUGGACAUGGAAAGGAAGACAAAGGACAACAACAAGAAUAGAAUGGAUAUAUCUUUUUUUUGUCAUCGUAAAAAUAUAGAGUUAGUUUAUGAUGGGUCAUAAGUUGUAAAGCCCAAAACCAGUUUUGCCUUAGACAAGAAUGCACAAUUACUUGUCUACCAAUGGUUUAAGAGUCUGCGUUUUCUUGAUGGACAUGCUUCGAACAUAUCAAGGUUGGUGAAUUUGAAGGAUUGUAGAUUAUAUGGAAUGAAGAGUCAUGACUGCCACGUGUUUAUGCAAACACUCAUUUCACUAGCUUACCAGGAUUUAUUGCCAAAGGGGGUAUGAGAUGCAUGCACUAUGGAGCUCAGUCACUUCUUUAAAGAUAUAUGCUCUUACAAGUUGCAGACACAACACAUAGAGAGGCUUGAAAUGAAUAUCAUCUAGACAAUCUGUAAAUUUAAGAUGAUAUUUCAUCCACCGUUCUUCAACUCAAUGAAGCAUCUACCUAUACAUCUACUAUUUAAGGAAAAAGUUGGAGGCCUAGUCUAAUAUAAAUGAUAGCGAUGAAAUCAACAUAGAAGAUUGUGAUGAAGAUAACAAAAUUAAAGAAGAAGAAGAAGAAGAAGAAGAAGACAAUUCUAAUUAAUUUGUAAAAACACGAAUGUGUAAUGCCAUAAAUUAUAAUGUAAUAUUUAUGGACGAGAUUAACUUUAAUGUAAUAAAAAUAACAUUAAUUUAUUAUUAAAUGACAAGGAAACAUUAAUUUUAUGUGAUUUUAAUAUUCUACAUAGAACUCGUGUUAUGUGUGCUAUUGUGAUUUUAAAUAUAUGUAGGAUGUAUAGAUAAGGAAUAAAGAUAUAAUUUGGCAAUCAAAACUGUUGUACACCGCUAUAAAUACUGAUAGACUGCAAAAUACCAACAAAUACACUGACAGAUUAAGGUCAUCGGUACAUUGCAAAAAACAUUUGAGAUUUUCACCUCUCAAUUGCACUGUUCAUUAUGGUCAAUACAAAAGGUAUCACCAACAGAUUAAGUUUGUCGGUAUAUUCCAGAGAGCAAUGGAAUUGUUUCCCUCUCAAUUCCACUAUUUAUUGUGUUCAAUAUAGAGGGUAUCACUGACAAAUUAAGUCUAUCAGUAUAUUCUAGAGAGCAUUGGAGCUUUUCACCUCUAAAUUACACUGUUCAUUACAUAUAGUAUCACCAAAUGUAAUAGUUGGCGGGUUUCGAAAAACUUUUAUUCAAUUGAAAAUUUCAAUUAGACUUUAUAGACGAAGACACUGACGGAAAAAUUAAAUAUUAAUUUUUAUUUUAUUUUCUGACGGUAAAGGCAUCGCCAAUAUUUGGCGUGUUUUUUGGAAAUUUUUAAUUAAAUUGAAAGUUUCAAUUAGAAUUUACAGACAGAGACACCGAUGAAAAAAUUAAAAUAUUAAUUUUUUAUUUUUCUGACAAGAAAGACGCCAGUAAUAUGUGGCGGGUUUCUAAAUUUUUUUGAUUAAAUUAAAAUUUUCAAUUGGACUUUACAAACUCUACAUACAGUAUACAUAAGGUAUGACCAACGGAUUGAGUUCGUCAGUAUAUUCUAGAGAGCAAUAUAAUUGUUCAUUUUUUGAAGUCACUUUUAAUUAUUGUUUGGUACAUAUGUAUUUACCAAUGAAAAAAAACAUUGUCAAUGAUAUUUAGGGUUUUUUUUAAUUUGCUAUAAAAUUAAAAAUUUUAAUUAGAUGUUAUAAACAGAAUCACAUACGAAAAAAUUAAAAAUAUUUAAUUGUUUGUCGGUAAAAUCAUUAGUAAAAAGCCCCAAAUUAAAAGAUCAAAAUCCUUAAAAUCUUAACAGACAUGCUGACUUUCUUCUUCUCUCUUCCUCUUUUUCUUCUUCUUCUCUCUUCCUCUUCCGCAAAUAAACACCAAUGUUUCUCUCUUUCUUUCUCUUCUCUCUCUCAUUCUCUCCUCAACUUCUUCUCUUCUCUUCUCUUCUCUUUUUCUCCACACGCAGGUAUGUCUUCUCCUCUCUUCUUCUACUAACUUCUUUGUUUUUCUUUUUCUUUUUUGUUAAUUAACAUACUGUUUGAAUUUGUUGUAUUUUUUUCUCUUCUUAAACUUCAAUCACAACGAAAUCAAGGUAAGAUUUUUCUUUUUUUCUUCUCUUUUUUUGUGUUUAUUUUGCAUUAUUUUUUUUAAUUUUUUUUGUUUUUAAUAAUUGUAUGAAUGUUGUUGUUGGAAUUUUAUUUUUUUUUUAAUAUGAGAACAAUUUUGUUGAAUUUUAGUUGGAUUUAUUUUUUUCAAUUUUGUUGUUCAAAUUCAAUUAAAUGUAUAGGAUUGAUUUUAAUUAUUAUUAGUUAAUAAUAUUCUAUUAAACAUUAAUAAAUUUAAAAUAUUCCUAGUUGAUAAUCAUUGAUUAUCAUAUAUUCAUAAUUAUAAGUCCAAUUUCAUUAAAAAGUAAAAGUUAUAAAUUUAGAUUGAUUUUUAUAUGUUAUACAAUAUAAUAUUAUUAUGAUAAUAAUUGUAUAUAUAACCUAAUUAUAGAAAAGAAGCUUUUCUGUUUAUAAAGUAAAAUUCUAGUUAAAAAAGUAGAGAUUCAAUAAUUAGGUUUACUCUAUAAUAAAUAUAUUUAUUAAUAAAAGAAAAUUUCAAAAAAAAAUAAUCUAAAAACUAGGCUGAGUACAAGUUGAGUGAACUCUUCACUCAAUGACAAGGAAACAAAUUGAAUAAAAUCAAAUGGUUUAUGGCAAUUAAAUUUAAAUAGUUGUGUAUUUGCAGGUUUAAAGAUUUUGGGUAGUCUUCCAUAUAAGGGAGGUGCUACUAAUUUUUUAAAAAAUAUGAAUAUUUUAUGGUAUCUUAAUCUUUUAAUUUGUGUAGAUCCUUAGGGGAAAGUUAAUAGCUCGUCGUACGGGCAUGAUCGCUGCUAGUUCUUCUAACAGUGCUUCUGAUGACCAUGACUCGUUAGGUGCCGACCAAGUAUAGAAUCCUUCGACACAUGCAUCCACACUUGACGUGGGCUUGACGAGUGCGAUGUCACCAUGUCGAGAUGGGGUCCCUUUAAAGUGGGUCCAUUUACCGGGAAGUAUCAGGCUUAGUGGAAACAUGACAUUUCAAUGUAAGUUUGUUUUCCCUUCACAACAACAUGUUAAUAAUUUUUGAAAAAUUAAUUUCAAUUAACGAAUGCAAUUUUUGGUUUACAAACAUUGAGGUUGUCAGAACCAUAUCAUCGACGAUGAAAUCGUCGAUGGAAAUUCUAUUAUUUUUAUGGAGUCAAGCUUCCAAACAUCCUGAAUUGAAACCUAUGAUUGAUGCAUGGUUUGGAAGAUUUAAGGUUAGUAUUAACUUAAAUAUUUUUUUAUAUUCGACCAACACUCAGGAUCCCAGCACUUCUAGUGGGAUCCUGAGAGUAUCGUCGGUGUUUAUUUAUCUUACAAAAAUUUCACUUGUUCUAACAACUAUUUUUUGUUUUUUCAGGAUUCCCCAAUACAUAGAAUCCAAAAAUUAAUCUUAUUUUAAUUAUCAUUAUUACCAUUGUGGCUGACUCGCCUCUCCGGGAAUGUUCGAGAUGGGACCCGGGAGAAAGAGAUGCCUUGGCACCUGAUGAACCAACCUAAAUGGUUAGCGGAAUAAGGGACUGGCCUCAGAAAUGCAGAUAGAAGGCGAUGCAUUAGCUGGUUACGGUUCAGGUGCGGCAGCUUUCGCCAAAGAGAAAUCCUUGUUCUUGUUCUUGUUCUUGUUCUUGUUCUUGUUCUGGUACCUGUAUGUUGAUUGAGUAAUGGUAGGAAUGAGGACCAACCCGACUAAGUUGAAUAAAUAAGGUUUGUUCUAAUCCUGAGAAGAUAUAACUCAACUAGUCAGGCUCUAGAUUACUAGUUUGAAGGUUACCAGUUUAAGUCCCACAAACCUUAGGGCUACUGGAGAUUUACAUGGUCGUUAAUCUCAAGGCACAUGGAAUUAGUCGAGGUACACGCAAACUGGUCCGAACACUCACAUUAAUAAAACAAAAAAAAAAGUUUGUUCCUCUAUCCAUUGGGAGACCCCUAAAAGAGUUAGAACAUGUACCUAUGGGACUUGAAAGGUAUAACCUAUCGAAAUACUCUUCAAUUCUUUUUAAAAAAAAUCUUGAGAUCAUUUAAUUAUAAACUUCUUGGGUAUUCUUACAUAGAAUUAUUCAUAAAUAUUGAGGUGUUUAUAUAUAUAUAACUUCUCCCUUUGUUUAUGCACAGAGGAUGGGAUUUUAUUUUCUUUUAAUCACUCUCCCUAAUUUUUUAGUUAGUUCAUAGCCUGAAAAAGGUCGCCAAUUUCAUUCCAAUUCUAUUUGCGAAUAAUUUUAUUUUUUGUUUCUUAAUAAAAAAUAAUAUGUACUUUUACAAUAUCAAUUAUAUCUUUUAAUUCGACCGUUGAAUCAGGUUAAAUGUUUAUGAGGAGUCUCCUUAUGUAUUGUUAUAUUUCUUAUUAAAAUUUUAGAGUGAUCAGAGUUUGAAAGGUCUUGCGAAACUCCUGAUAAUAUUUUUAUAAUUUUAUUCAUAAAUGUCAUUUUAUUGUAUUUAUUUUUUAGAUUUUAUAAUUUUUUUAUUUAACACUGAGUUUAUUGAUAAUUGAUUUUUAUAAUUUAUUUUAAUUUAUUUUAUUUAAAGUUAUUAUAGUCUUAUGAUAAAGAUGAAGAAUUAGAUAAGUGUUUUGAUUUGUUUUAUUUGAGAUUUUAAACAGCAAAUCAAAGCAGGAUUUUUGCGUUUUUUUUAAAACCGAAAAACUUUUCGACCCUUUCUCUUUUCCCUUUUUUUUCUCUCUCUCUCUCUCUAUCCCCCGCAAAUGAAUGACACCCAAUAUUUACAUUCAUGAUUGCCGCUCAGGUCACCAAUGAGCUGGGCAGCACUUCAUGAUUGCCGCCCCCCAAUUGAAUUGCACGGCAAAAUCUAUUUCUUGUUUUAAACAAGAUACAAUUAGGCGCGUAGUUUUUUUUUUUUUUACUGAAAAGUAUAUUUUUUUAAAAAAAGUAAAUUUUAGAAAAUUAAAUUCUAGAAAAUUGAAUUAUUUUUUUAUGUUUGAUAGUGUAAUAAAAAAUAAAUUAAAAAACAUUUUCUAGUGUUUGUUUAUGUCAUUGAAAAAUAAACUGAGAAAUAAUUUAUUAAUAUUUUAUUUUUUUCAAGUUGAAAGAUGAAGAAAUUAAAAUAAUAAUAAUUAAAAUUUCAUAAAUUAUUUUAAAUAAAAUAAGUAACAAUCAAAAGAAUAAGGAUCAAAUUUGAUAGAUAAAAAAUUUUAAUGAAAAAAUAAUAAGGAAAAAGCAAAUAACAAUUAUAAAAAUAAGGACCGAAAUUAAUAUAAAAAUUAAAUUCUAAUGGAUGAAAUUGAAAAAAAAAUAUUCAAAACAAAAUAUAUAUAGCAAUCAAAAGUUUGAGAACCAAAUUUGAUAUAAUCAGUAAAUAAUAUGACAUUUCUAAAUUUUUCACAACUUACGGAAAGUGUUUUCCAUCCAAAAUAAAAGAAAAAAACUUUUCUGGAAAUCAAACCAAAUUUUUUUUUGACUGGAAAAUAUUUUCUGUUGAUCAACUUUUAUAAUAACAAAUAAACAUAAAAAAUUUUUGACUGGAAAAUAUUUUCUGUUGAUCAACUUUUAUAAUAACAAAUAAACAUAAAAAAUUUUAAAAAAUGAAUCACUUUCCAAAUGUAUAUAUAUAUAAGGACAAUUUGGUACGAUGGUAAUUUAGUAUCUAAUUUUAUCUAUAGAAUUAAUUUAAGCAGGACAAUUUGGUACGAUGGUAAUUUAGUAUCUAAUUUUAUCUAUAGAAUUAAUUUAAGCAAAAAAUUUUAAUUAAUAAUAAGCCAAAAAUCAUAUACAUUGUUAAAAAUUGUUUAUAUAUAAAAUAAAAUAAAAAUUAUUGUUCAUGCCUUUUAUUUAUUUAGAAACAGUAAAAAAAUUAUAAACGAAAAACUAUGAAAAACUUUUAAAAUAUGUUUUUCCAACUAAGUAUAAAUUUGAAAAACUUAUUAACAAGUUUUUUGGUACGGAAGAUUCUCAAUUCUCUUGCCAUGCCAAAGCAUCGAAGAUGUCAACAAAAACUAUAUUUGAUUCGAGGAUUCAUUGGAACAUCACAUUUCUCUGAGAAUUUAAAAAAUUUCUAUGAAAUAAUAAAAUUUAAAAAAAAACAACAAAAAAAGGCUCCAAAAACCCAAAGGAAUUAAAAAAAUCAUACUAGAGGAUAGAAUUAAAAAAAAAUGAAAAGAUAAAAAAAGAGCAAUUUUUUUUAUUAAAUUAUAAAAAAAAAUACAAAUUUUAAUUUAUUAUCAACUUAAUAUUAACGAACAACAUUAAAUAAAAAUAUUGUAUUCAAGGAUAGAAUUGAAAAAAAAUAUAUAAAAUAUAAAAAGGAGACCAAGAAACAUAAAGGAAAUAAAAUUAAACCUAUAUUAAAUUAUGAAAUUGAAAUAAAUUAAAACAAAAAACAAAAGAGCAAGAAAAAAAAGAGUAAAAAAGCUUUUAUUGUAUGAUAAAAAAAUAUGAAAUACCAUUUAUUAUCAACUCAAUACUAAAUAAAACCUCAUAUUAAAGGAUGAAAGAAAAGAUAAGAUAAGAUUAAAAAAAAAAAGGGCAAAAAAACCCAAAGAAAAUUAAAAAAAUCAUAUUAAAUAAUAAAAUUUUAAAAAAAUAAUUUCAUAAAAAAAAUAAAAAAACUCAUAUAACAAAUAAAAGAAGUUAUGGACCUAUUACAAAAACUCAUGUGGGCUUAAGAGAGGCCCGUGGGUCUGUCUUUAUUUCUUUUUUUGAAAGAAAAAAAAAUACAUACAUGACAACUCGUGUAUCGUCUAUGGAAAUGUUUCUUCGAGACAUUAUGUUAGUUUGUCAAAAUCACUUUCCUCCACGCGCCGCUCUAUACCCACCACGUCUGCGAGCUCUUGCUGGACUCUUUCUGAUCCUCUGGACUCUUCAUUAGCUCCGCCAUGGCCCAUUCUAUUGCCGACGCCACCGUCUCUGUCCCACCAAACAUCACAUCCUACCAGAAUCAACUUAGAUUGAUUUGUAAUUCCUUCAAUUUCAUCUACCCACAAAUCAGAGAUGUGUGUGGAUUUGCACGUUAUUGAUUUUUUGUUUCAGUGGAAUUGAAACGACAAAAAAACUGGACUGCAAUAUCGAGAUCAUAUAGUUAAAUAAUACUAUUGCGUUCUGACAGCAGAACCAACGAAAAAAAAAAAACCUAACUAAAUUUCAAAUAAAAAAAAUCCAUUAAUUUAUUUUUUUAUUAUAUAAAAAAAUAAAUAAAUAAAAAUUAAAAAAAAUUAAACAUAUCUAACUUCGGCAAGUUCAACCUAAUAGCAUUUGGUCUGGCUGUCAAACCAAACCCAACACAUAUUAAAAAAGAUUUGGAUUUGGCUCUACUAAGACAAAUCCAAUAUAAAAAAUAAAAAAACAAUAUUUUUAGCAAUAUUUUUUAAUUAAAAAACAGUAAAAAUAACGCUUCCAUGUCACUAUAAUAUCAUUCCCAGUGUUGUUGAUAUUACAAUAAAUCUAAGUUUUUAUUAAAUACACAAUAUUUUUCUCCUGCCGAAUAGUAUAAUUGUAGGAACUCAUGAGCCUAGAGAUACAUAGAUUUAUAGGGAGCUUUCUUUUCCCAUUAUUUUUGUUUAUUAGCAUUGAUCUUUAAAAAUAUUGGUAAAAUAAUAUAUUUAAAAAAUAGCAUCAAACAACCGAAUACAACGUGGAUGUGGUCCUUUUGAUUUUCAACCACUCGUUUGACCAUUUUCGACCUCCCUAAUCUACCAACCCUACGUGUUGGGGUGGGAGUUCUAGCCCGACAUCGAAACAAAAGUGGGGCUACUUGAAUUAUCCUUAGAGUAUCGAGAAAUAGAAAUGCUAAAUGAAAAUUUAAAAAUAAAAUAAAAAAUAUUAUUUUAAUUUUUUAAUAUUUAUUUUAUAUGCGCUUUAAAAAGAAUUUUAAAUAAAAUAUUAUUUUAUUAUUUUUCUCAAGAUUAUCAAUUCCGUUUCGAUAGAUGUUUUGUUUUUUCAAUUGAAAUAAAAUAUUUCAGUUUUGAAGUGUUUCGACGUGCCGUUUCGAGGUUGUACUGUUCAUAUAUAUAUAUAUAUAUAUAUAUAUAUAUAUAUAUAUAUAUAUAUUCAACAAACAUAAUUCAAAUUCAAGAUAAAUUAAUUAUAAAUUAUACAAUACAAACACAAUGCCAAAUAAAUAUAAUUUCAAAAUUUAAAAUAUUUCUAAAUAAUCAAGAUUAAAUAGAUCUUUAAUUUAAAAUAAUUCAAUUUAAAUAAAAUAUCAAAAUAUUAUGAAAGUAAAAUGUUUUAACACAAAUAUUUUAAAUAUAAAGUUAGGUCAAUGUUAUCAAGGCUAAUGGAAUAUAAAGCAUCCCUUAUUUUGCUCAAAUUCCUACAAAGUAUAAACAUGAAAAACAAAACAUGAAUAUAAACCAUAUAUAUUAGUGAUAAAUCUAAUUUUAAAAAAUUAAUAUCAUUGUUAAUGAAAAUAGUAAUAAUAAUUUUCAAUAUUAUUAUUAAUAUCAUUGUUAUUGAAAAUAGUAAUGAAAAAGAGCUUUUUAUAAUUGGGUGAUUUAAUUAAUUAAAUUGAACAAGGUUCAAUUUGAUUCAAUGACUUUUCAAGAGCGAAACGGAACAUGUGGAAUGAAACCGGAACAUUCCGGGCGAAAUUUAGCCGAAAAAUCCGGAACGGACCGAGAUUUAAAAUGAGAUGAAAUUUAUUCCGUUUUGUUCUGUUUUUUGAAUUGGUAUGGAAUGUUUCGGCCAUUCCGGACGAAACAGAACAGAAUUGACAACCUUGAUUUCUCUUACAAAAAUAUCAUUCCUAUAUAUACAGUAAAAUGCUAAAAUACUGUUUAUUAGGAUUUUUUUAGUAGUUUUUUAAUUUUUUUAAAUCAAUAUUUUUUUAGUUUAUAUUUUAUAAGAUUAUACUAGUAUUUUAAUUUCUGUUAUGAGUUUAGUAAAUUCAUCUACAUUUUUUUUUAUUAAUUUUAACUUUUAAUAUUAAGUUGGAUUAUGUUUAAGAUGUGAAGUGAACUUUGUAUAUUAAAUAUAUUAAAAUACAAUUGAAUAUUUAAGAAAUCUUUUAUUAUUAAAAUAUACAUAAAAAAUUAUAUUUAUAGUAUUUAAAAAGAUAAAUUUUGAUCUGUUUGGCUCUUCUAAAUAUCUCCUUGGAAAUUCUCUGGCCGCCAACUGUGACCUUUCUCUUCCUCCAUGAGGCGGGGUCCAAGAUGAAUUAAGUAAUACAGAGUGCAUCUAUCCACCCUAUAUACUGGGAUGCAGGUGCUUACCGGCAUCAAAACAACAAUGGUAGAGACCAAGAAUCAGAAGCAUUUUGUUCUAGUACAUGGAGCUUGCCAUGGGGCUUGGUGCUGGCAAAAGUUCAAAACGCUGCUUGAGUCAGCAAGUAACAGGGUCACGGUGCUUGACCUUGCUGCUUCAGGCGCCAACAUGAAGGCAAUCCAAGAUGUAGAAACACUUGAUGAAUAUACGGAGCCUUUGUUAGAGUUUCUGGCCUCAUUACAACCGAAGGAGAAGG
This 30604-nucleotide long non-coding RNA is filed under the name Populus trichocarpa (black cottonwood). Its description in RNAcentral is "long non-coding RNA (PTRI_LNC001942)". Lineage: Eukaryota; Viridiplantae; Streptophyta; Magnoliopsida; Malpighiales; Salicaceae. The record is from RNAcentral.